UGUCAUCUUUUAACCUCUCAAUUUUAUUUCUUCUUCUUUGAAUCAAAGUAGUCAUAUUGAAGAAUUUUGUAUUUCUGUCGCCCUCCUGCAGCCGCUUGAUCCUGGACUUUUGCUACCAGAACAAAGCUUCUUGUCCAAGAAUAGCAUUGAAAUCGUCAAUGAGAGCUUCUUGUUCAAUAAUACAUUAUGGAAAUCACCUAUAAUUAGAAUUGGUACUUGCCCAUUAACUUUGUGAGAAAUGAGAUCCCA
This 249-nucleotide long non-coding RNA is filed under the name Prunus persica (peach). RNAcentral describes it as "long non-coding RNA (PPER_LNC004876)". Lineage: Eukaryota; Viridiplantae; Streptophyta; Magnoliopsida; Rosales; Rosaceae. The record is from RNAcentral.